This 433-nucleotide ribosomal RNA is filed under the name uncultured bacterium. Its description in RNAcentral is "partial 16S ribosomal RNA". It matches the Rfam family "Bacterial small subunit ribosomal RNA", at positions 29 to 507 of the family's 1533-position model. The record is from RNAcentral.
AACGAACGCUGGCGGCAGGCUUAACACAUGCAAGUCGAACGCACCUUUCGGGGUGAGUGGCAGACGGGUGAGUAACGCGUGGGAAUCUACCCUUCUCUACGGGAUAGCUCCGGGAAACUGGAAUUAAUACCGUAUACGUCCUGAGGGAGAAAGAUUUAUCGGGGAAGGAUGAGCCCGCGUUGGAUUAGCUAGUUGGUGGGGUAAAGGCCUACCAAGGCGACGAUCCAUAGCUGGUCUAAGAGGAUGAUCAGCCGCAUUGGGACUGAGACACGGCCCAAACUCCUACGGGAGGCAGCAGUGGGGAAUAUUGGACAAUGGGCGCAAGCCUGAUCCAGCCAUGCCGCGUGAGUGAUGAAGGCCCUAGGGUUGUAAAGCUCUUUCAGUGGGGACGAUAAUGACGGUACCCACAGAAGAAGCCCCGGCUAACUUCGUG